This 77-nucleotide transfer RNA is filed under the name Nitrosomonas europaea. Its description in RNAcentral is "tRNA-Ile". It matches the Rfam family "tRNA". Rfam says of the family: Transfer RNA (tRNA) molecules are approximately 80 nucleotides in length. The record is from RNAcentral. Lineage: Bacteria; Pseudomonadati; Pseudomonadota; Betaproteobacteria; Nitrosomonadales; Nitrosomonadaceae. RNAcentral also lists the same sequence under 5 other names.
GGGUCUGUAGCUCAGUUGGUCAGAGCAGGGGACUCAUAAUCCCUUGGUCGUAGGUUCAAGUCCUACCAGACCCACCA